GUUUAUUUUUGCUAGCAUAUCCUUAUACGAGACACUAGAUUGCAUUUUUGCUAAUGGGCAUGAAGUGUUUGGCGGCUUACAUCUUUCAUCUUUGUGGCUGCAUAAUGAAGUGAUUCUGCAGGAGUUUCAUCAGACUUAAAGGACCACUAUAGUGCCAGAAAAACACUCGUUUUCCUGGCACUAUAGUGCCCUGAGGGUGCCCCCACCCUCAGGGACCCCCUUCCGCCCGGCUCUGGAAAGGGGAAAGGGGUUUAAACUUACCUUUUUCCAGCGCUGGGCGGAGAGCUCUCCUC
Pelobates cultripes (western spadefoot toad) is the source of this 293-nucleotide non-coding RNA. Lineage: Eukaryota; Metazoa; Chordata; Amphibia; Anura; Pelobatidae. The record is from the annotation of a GenBank genome assembly.